RNAcentral lists this long non-coding RNA (255 nucleotides) under Medicago truncatula (barrel medic). Its description in RNAcentral is "lncRNA gene44071". The record is from RNAcentral. Lineage: Eukaryota; Viridiplantae; Streptophyta; Magnoliopsida; Fabales; Fabaceae.
GUGUUUUUUUGCUUCUUCUUUUUUGGCUCCCUUAUUUAUCAAUUUGUCUCUUUUUAAAAUUUAGUUUUUUUGUUGUCAAAAGUACAUUUAAUUAUUUAUUCGGUAUUUCGUUUAGGGAAAUGAUAAUUCUUACAAAUCAAUAUGAUAACAAAAUGUAAGAAACAUUUUCUUUGUUUUCCUCUCAACAAGAAAAAAGAAUUGUUUCUUGCUUUUCUAACCACAGUUUCCUCGGUCUCGAUCUUUUUUAAAUGGUGA